CCUACGGGCGGCUGCAGUGGGGAAUAUUGGACAAUGGGCGAAAGCCUGAUCCAGCCAUGCCGCGUGUGUGAAGAAGGCCUUCGGGUUGUAAAGCACUUUCAGUGGGGAAGAAAGCCUUGGGGCUAAUACCCUCGAGGAAGGACAUCACCCACAGAAGAAGCACCGGCUAACUCCGUGCCAGCAGCCGCGGUAAUACGGAGGGUGCGAGCGUUAAUCGGAAUUACUGGGCGUAAAGCGCGCGUAGGCGGUCUGAUAAGCCGGUUGUGAAAGCCCCGGGCUCAACCUGGGAACGGCAUCCGGAACUGUCAGGCUAGAGUGCAGGAGAGGAAGGUAGAAUUCCCGGUGUAGCGGUGAAAUGCGUAGAGAUCGGGAGGAAUACCAGUGGCGAAGGCGGCCUUCUGGACUGACACUGACGCUGAGGUGCGAAAGCGUGGGUAGCAAACAGGAUUAGAUACCCGGUAGU
This 463-nucleotide ribosomal RNA is filed under the name Vreelandella stevensii. RNAcentral's name for it is "partial 16S ribosomal RNA". It matches the Rfam family "Bacterial small subunit ribosomal RNA", at positions 338 to 794 of the family's 1533-position model. Lineage: Bacteria; Pseudomonadati; Pseudomonadota; Gammaproteobacteria; Oceanospirillales; Halomonadaceae. The record is from RNAcentral.